This 1015-nucleotide ribosomal RNA is filed under the name uncultured korarchaeote. RNAcentral's name for it is "bacterial SSU rRNA". It matches the Rfam family "Archaeal small subunit ribosomal RNA", at positions 187 to 1205 of the family's 1478-position model. Lineage: Archaea; Thermoproteati; Thermoproteota. The record is from RNAcentral.
CGCUGGAGGCCCCAGGGUGGGACCGCGGCCUAUCAGGUAGUAGGUGGGGUAACGGCCCACCUAGCCUACGACGGGUACGGGCCCUGAGAGGGGGAGCCCGGAGAUGGGCACUGAGACAAGGGUCUAGGCCCUAAGGGGCGCAGCAGGCGCGAAGAUUCCGCAAUGCCCGAAAGGGCGACGGAGUGAACCCGAGUGCCACCCGCUGAGGGUGGCUGUUCCCCUGUGUAAAAAGCAGGGGGCAGGAAGGGGAGGGCAAGGCUGGUGGCAGCCGCCGCGGUAAAACCAGCUCCCCGAGGGGUUCCCACGCAUACUGGGCCUAAAGCGUCCGUAGCCGGCCCUGUAAGUCUGCAGUUAAAUCCGCCUGUAGACAGGCGGGUUGCUGCAGAUACUGCAGGGCUAGGGAGCGGGAGGAGCCGGGGGUAUUCCCGGGGGAGCGGUAAAAUGCGUAGAUCCCGGGAGGACCACCAGUGGCGAAGGCGCCCGGCUUGAACGCGUCCGACGGUGAGGGACGAAAGCUGGGGGAGCAAACCGGAUUAGAUACCCGGGUAGUCCCAGCCGUAAACGAUGCCGGCUAGGUGCUGGCCAAGGUUUCGGCCUUGGCCAGUGUCGAAGCGAAGGCAUUAAGCCGGCCGCCUGAGGAGUACGGCCGCAAGGCUGAAACUUGAAGGAAUUGACGGGGGGGCACCACAAGGGGUGAAUGCCUGCGGCUUAAUUGGACUCAACGCCGGGAAUCUUACCGGGGGCGACAGCAGGAUGAAGGUCAGGCUGAAGACCUUACCAGACGCGCUGAGGGGUGGUGCAUGGCCGUCGCCAGCUCGUGCCGUGAGGUGUCCUGUUAAGUCAGGCAACGAGCGAGACCCCCGCCCCUAGUUGCCAGCGGCCUCCUUCGGGAGGGACCGGGCAAACUAGGGGGACCGCCUCCGAAGAGGAGGAGGAAGGUGGGGGCUACGGCAGGUCAGUAUGCCCCUAAUCCCCCGGGGCGCACGCGGGCUGCAAUGGGCGGGACAGCGGGAUG